RNAcentral lists this ribosomal RNA (430 nucleotides) under uncultured bacterium. Its description in RNAcentral is "partial 16S ribosomal RNA". It matches the Rfam family "Bacterial small subunit ribosomal RNA", at positions 354 to 796 of the family's 1533-position model. The record is from RNAcentral.
GUGGGGAAUAUUGCACAAUGGGCGCAAGCCUGAUGCAGCAACGCCGCGUGAGGGACGACGGCCUUCGGGUUGUAAACCUCUUUUAGCAGGGAAGAAGCGAAAGUGACGGUACCUGCAGAAAAAGCACCGGCUAACUACGUGCCAGCAGCCGCGGUAAUACGUAGGGUGCAAGCGUUGUCCGGAAUUAUUGGGCGUAAAGAGCUCGUAGGCGGUUGGUCGCGUCUGCUGUGAAAACCCGAGGCUCAACCUCGGGCCUGCAGUGGGUACGGGCAGACUAGAGUGCGGUAGGGGAGAUUGGAAUUCCUGGUGUAGCGGUGGAAUGCGCAGAUAUCAGGAGGAACACCGAUGGCGAAGGCAGAUCUCUGGGCCGUAACUGACGCUGAGGAGCGAAAGCGUGGGGAGCGAACAGGAUUAGAAACCCGAGUAGUCC